AACGAACGCUGACGGCGUGCCUAACACAUGCAAGUCGAACGAGAAAGUCCCGGCUUGCCGGGAUGAGUAGAGUGGCGCACGGGUGAGUAACGCGUGGGUAAUCUGCCUUUAAGUUUGGGAUAACACUGCGAAAGCGGUGCUAAUACCGGAUAUGCUCACAGUUUGAGAUGUCUGUGGGAAAAGGUGGCCUCUGACAUAAGCUACCGCUUGAAGGUGAGCCCGCGUACCAUUAGCUGGUUGGUGGGGUAAUGGCCUACCAAGGCUACGAUGGUUAGCUGGCCUGAGAGGGCGGCCAGCCACACUGGAACUGAGACACGGUCCAGACUCCUACGGGAGGCAGCAGUGGGGAAUAUUGCGCAAUGGGGGAAACCCUGACGCAGCGACGCCGUGUGAGUGAUGAAGGCUUUCGGGUCGUAAAGCUCUGUCGGAUGGGACGAAUAAAGACUGUGUGAAUAAUGCAGUCAGAUGACGGUACCGUCGAAGGAAGCACCGGCUAGCUCCGUGCCAGCAGCCGCGGUAAUACGGAGGGUGCAAGCGUUGUUCGGAAUUAUUGGGCGUAAAGAACGUGUAGGCGGGCCUGUGUGUCAAAUGUGAAAGCCCUCGGCUCAACCGAGGAAGUGCAUCUGAAACUGCUGGUCUUGAGUACGAGAGAGGAGAGUGGAAUUCCCAGUGUAGAGGUGAAAUUCAUAGAUAUUGGGAAGAACACCGGCGGCGAAAGCGGCUCUCUGGCUCGAUACUGACGCUGAGACGUGAAAGCGUGGGUAGCAAACAGGAUUAGAUACCCUGGUAGUCCA
This 794-nucleotide ribosomal RNA is filed under the name uncultured bacterium. RNAcentral's name for it is "bacterial SSU rRNA". It matches the Rfam family "Bacterial small subunit ribosomal RNA", at positions 28 to 797 of the family's 1533-position model. The record is from RNAcentral.